This 521-nucleotide ribosomal RNA is filed under the name uncultured bacterium. Its description in RNAcentral is "bacterial SSU rRNA". It matches the Rfam family "Bacterial small subunit ribosomal RNA", at positions 791 to 1312 of the family's 1533-position model. The record is from RNAcentral.
UAGUNCACGCCGUAAACGAUGAGUGCUAGGUGUUAGACCCUUUCCGGGGUUUAGUGCCGCAGNUAAGGCAUUAAGCACUCCGCCUGGGGAGUACGACCGCAAGGUUGAAACUCAAAGGAAUUGACGGGGGCCCGCACAAGCGGUGGAGCAUGUGGUUUAAUUNGAAGCAACGCGAAGAACCUUACCAGGUCUUGACAUCCCUCUGACCGCUCUAGAGAUAGAGUUUUCCUUCGGGACAGAGGUGACAGGUGGUGCAUGGUUGUCGUCAGCUCGUGUCGUGAGAUGUUGGGUUAAGUCCCGCAACGAGCGCAACCCCUAUUGUUAGUUGCCAUCAUUUAGUUGGGCACUCUAGCGAGACUGCCGGUAAUAAACCGGAGGAAGGUGGGGAUGACGUCAAAUCAUCAUGCCCCUUAUGACCUGGGCUACACACGUGCUACAAUGGCUGGUACAACGAGUCGCAAGCCGGUGACGGCAAGCUAAUCUCUUAAAGCCAGUCUCAGUUCGGAUUGUAGGCUGCAACU